CGUACCGCUUCUUCUGAAGUGCGCGCCAGCAACUGUUACGUCGUGGCUUUGCGCUUACCCGUUUUGCGACAGCAGACUACAGCCAGGAAACAGCAACCUUUCUUACCACAAGUUUCCAAUUGACAAUCCCAUCCUCCUGCAAAAAUGGCUUCAAGCCAUGGGUCUGAGAGGCUUUGCUCCAACCAGACGUCAUGCUCUGUGCUCUGCCCACUUCGAGCAAUCUAACUUUUGCGGUGGUCUACAACGACGCCGACUGCGUGAAGGGGCAGUGCCGACUUUGUUUCAACCAAGCAGUGACAACACAAGGGUAGAAGCAUCAGCAGCAACACUUGAAGCUCACUCGAUGUGUUCACCGGAAGGAUGGGCAGCGUUGUAAUCAACCAACACGUUGUGCACAAGAUUUUGGUUGCUCAAUGCUGUGUUGCUCGCAUCUAGGUCUUCUAUGAAGUGCACACUAUGACAUAGUUGCCGGGCCUCAAAUGAGGAAGCGCAUGAAAACACGGACACGAGAAGAAACGAAGACGAAGACAAGCGCUAACUUUCAACAACAAAAUUUAUUUCGUCUGUCUUACUGUGUUUUGCAAGCAAACCAAAAAACUGUGCUUGAUUGUCCUAUUUUCCUUUUGCUACGAUUCCUUCAACUGUCAAUCUUAUGUAAACCCUGGCAACAUUACAAAAAUGAAUGACUACAGCGACACAUAUACACACUGCAUUUAUGUUAAUACUAAUCUCUAAACUAAAAAGUAUAAGGAGUCAAUUUCAUGCGGACAUUAACCAAGUUAAAUUGCAAGGAGCAAUGACAGCACGACACCACCACACACUUCCAGGUUUUGCAAUGCACCAAUUUUAUGAGCAAGGAAUUGGUCAACCUCAUUACUAUAGUGUUUUUCUUUCUUCAUCUGAGCUACAGUAUUUGAAACGCACCAUUUUCUUUUUCAGUUAUCACAUGCAACAUUCUUCCGUCAGUCAAGUGGCACUGCGUUAGUAAACUAGACAGGAAAGUAAGAGCAAUCGCAAGCUGAAAUAUAAAUGAAAGCUGCAAGCUUUCAUAUAAUUAUGAAUGUUGUGCGCCGGAAACGUAUGCUGCAUACCCCCAUAAUCUAACGAACGUAGCUGGUACGGAUUUCUAUGGGCUCGUGUAAAAGCGAGCGUACUUGACACACUACAACGGAACCACAACCGAUCAGACAUCCCACACGUAAGCCAUCACUAGAUGCAGUAUCGCGACGCGUUACAAUGAUCGCAUACGCCGGCCCGAUCAGUCAUCCCAGGAAUUUUAAUGAAAUCCGCCACUGAAACUUAUUUGUGGGGAUAUGCCACGUUUUCUACGUGCUUUAAAGGUUUUAAGCAGAGAAGAUGUGCGUAGUACUGUGCUUUAAAAAUAAUUAUGGGGUUUUACGUGCCAAAACCACGACAUGAUUAUGCGGCACGCCGUAGUGGGGAACUCCGGAAAUUUGGACCACCUGGGGUUCUUUAACGUGCACCUCAAUCUAGUACACGGGUGUUUUCGCAUUUCGCCCCCAUCGAAGUGCGGCCGCCGUGGCCGGGAUUCGAUCCCGCGAGUACUGUGCUUGUAUGUUACCUUCUUUUCGAUCUUCUGAAGUUUGAUAAAGCGGCUAACGCUACGGCGUCAACCUAACACACUUAACAAAGCAGGGUCAAAACAGUCAAAACACGUUCUCUCACCUUUUA
This is a long non-coding RNA of Dermacentor silvarum, 1692 nucleotides long. RefSeq lists it as uncharacterized. Lineage: Eukaryota; Metazoa; Arthropoda; Arachnida; Ixodida; Ixodidae. The transcript has 3 exons. The record is from RefSeq and is a predicted model, not a curated record.